Non-coding RNA from Pelobates cultripes (western spadefoot toad), 252 nucleotides. The record is from the annotation of a GenBank genome assembly. NCBI's taxonomy places the organism in Eukaryota, Metazoa, Chordata, Amphibia, Anura, Pelobatidae.
CCCAUCUGCACUGUUGUGGAGAUUACUGUCUCCCCUUGGUGGGCUAAGCUGCCGCUGGGGAGAGGGGGUAACAAGCUCCUCUCCCAUACAUACUUUCAGCCGCUGGGGAGAGGGGAUAACAAGCUCCUCUCCCUGACACUCUCUCUGCUGUUGAAGGGGGAGAUCGACUGUCUCCCCUUUCAAUAAUUUGUCCUGUUGCUGGGGAGAGGUGAUAACUGGUUCCUCUCCCUGGAACACUCUCUGCUGUUGGAG